UACGUAGGUGGCAAGCGUCAUCCGGAAUUAUUGGGCGUAAAGCGCGCGUAGGCGGUUUCUUAAGUCUGAUGCGAAAGCCCACGGCUUAACCGUGGAGGGUCAUUGGAAACUGGGAGACUUGAGUGCAGAAGAGGAAAGUGGAAUUCCAUGUGUAGCGGUGAAAUGCGCAGAGAUAUGGAGGAACACCAGUGGCGAAGGCGGCUCUCUGGUCUGUAACUGACGCUGAUGUGCGAAAGCGUGGGUAGCAAACAGG
RNAcentral lists this ribosomal RNA (253 nucleotides) under uncultured bacterium. Its description in RNAcentral is "partial 16S ribosomal RNA". It matches the Rfam family "Bacterial small subunit ribosomal RNA", at positions 524 to 776 of the family's 1533-position model. The record is from RNAcentral.